AUUGAACGCUGGCGGCAUGCCUUACACAUGCAAGUCGAACGGCAGCACGGGGGGAAACCCCUGGUGGCGAGUGGCGAACGGGUGAGUAAUACAUCGGAACGUGCCCAGUAGUGGGGGAUAACCUCUCGAAAGAGAGGCUAAUACCGCAUACGACCUACGGGUGAAAGCGGGGGACCGCAAGGCCUCGCGCUAUUGGAGCGGCCGAUGUCGGAUUAGCUAGUUGGCGGGGUAAUGGCCCACCAAGGCGACGAUCCGUAGCUGGUCUGAGAGGACGAUC
RNAcentral lists this ribosomal RNA (277 nucleotides) under uncultured bacterium. Its description in RNAcentral is "partial 16S ribosomal RNA". It matches the Rfam family "Bacterial small subunit ribosomal RNA", at positions 30 to 305 of the family's 1533-position model. The record is from RNAcentral.